RNAcentral lists this long non-coding RNA (1310 nucleotides) under Homo sapiens (human). RNAcentral describes it as "long non-coding RNA NONHSAT162996.1". Lineage: Eukaryota; Metazoa; Chordata; Mammalia; Primates; Hominidae. The record is from RNAcentral.
CAGCCAGCUACUGAACCUUAUGUGUGCCUAGGGGCCAUUUUGAGACAAUUUGCUGAAUAUUAAAAGUACAACCAAUAAUGUUUCUCUCCACAUCCACAAUAGCGCUUAGAGGAAGCAUCUGGGAUUGAGCCAUCUCACAUCUGUCUAAUCACAUUCAUUCAAAUGUGAUGGGCCCAACUGGCCUACGUACAUGGCUGCAUAUCACCAUGGGUGGAAAUUAAAUCAGAAUUUGGCUCAGGAGAGAGAUGAAGAGAAAAUGCACGUAGAUAAUUGGCUCAGAUAACAUUCUGUUUCUGGAAGUCACAAAGAGUGGAAAUUGGAAUAUGUAAAUUAAAGAAAAACAGGCCUUAAGAUCAAGUCCGCAAUGGAAGAAGAGCAUUCAUCUGGUACAGGUUGAUGAUUGUGUAAGCCCAAGGAGUGAUGUCAACACUGGGGUUCACCUGAGAACAUGGACAUGGUUGAUGAGGGUUUAGGAGAUGCUCAUACGAAGUCUUCAUAUGUUCCCUGGAUCCCAGCUCUGCCUUCCCACCAGAGAGGAUGUAAUUCAGCCGAGAUGCCCAGAGUCAGCUCUCUGCUCAUAUCUGUUCCGCACUGAAGCCAAUCAUCUGAGAAACCUAAGAAGUGUUUAAUGUAGUUAGGAAAGUGAGGGAUGAAGACCAUAAAUUCCUUUUCAUGUAGCAGAGUAUAUAUGUGAUACUCAUUCUGUGGUAUUUGGGGCAUAAACAAGAGUCGAUGAAGGAAUGUGAAAGUACUCGAAAUCCUGACUUUUAUCUCUAUAAAAAUGGCAUAGGGAUGAAACACACUUGGUUGUUAUGACUGUACUCUUUUCAGAUUUACUACUUGCCUUUCUACUGAUUUUUCUGUGCCACAGGUCUUGACUCCUGUAGGCUAAAUUUCUCAGCCUCUUCUGCUCACUGAUAUAUGGGAAGGUUUGGCCAAAGGUGGGUGACUGGUGGGGAGAAGGAUGAGGGAAUUCAGGGGAUUGCUGAGCCCAUUCUCUAGACAGUGCUGCUGGCACUGGCUCUGUCUUCUCCGUUUCCAUCUCGCAUCAGACGGUUCUUCCCUCUAUGGGCCUAGUCCUACCUAGACACUUUCCAGUUGGAUUCCAGUUCUGGGGAUGCUCCCUCCUGCAGGGAUCUAAGUCCUUCCCAUUGUCUUCGGCUCCUGGGCUCAGCUAGAACCAUCUUUUCCCAUUGUCCCUGUGGUGCUAGGGCUUUCAGUGGUUAUUAACGUCUGUGUUGUAUCAUCUUGCCUGAAUUUCAGCUCUCUGUAACCAGUUCCCCAAAUAAAAUUCCCCCCAUUUACCUACC